GAUCAGUAUGGCUGGCUCUGUGAAGCCAUGUGGUAACCAAUUUAUUCAGUCAGCUCCUCCUCCACCCGCCCUCUGCCAGAUGUUGAUGGAAAACUGAGCCAGGAGGCUGGGGGUAGAAGCAGGGAGGACUAGGAAAGAAGGAAGUAGGAGGCAGCAGGGAAAGAAAGAACAGAGGAGAAGUUAGCAGUCCCUGCUAUCGAGUAAGAAGGCUUUGAUAUAUGUGUGGGAGAGCGAGAAGGAAGCUGCAGCUUCAGAGGCUCGGUCGCCCAGGUAGGCUAGUCCACCCGGCUGGCCGCGUUGCCAGCAGUUCCUGUCCUGUGUGAGGACGUGACAAAGACAGUGCCAGCAUGUUGGUUUUCUCUACUGGUGUAUGGGGAUGACGGUGAAGCUCUCCAAGGGCUCAGGAAACGUGGAAGCCUACGAGGAAAUCCUCAGAAGCAGAAGGCUGUGGAGGAAAGGCCUGGAGGGAGGAUCAGCUCUGCCGCAGAGAUUUCUCGUCGCUCUGGGUCCUGUUUGCCCCAAAGCCUCCUUUUAAAAGAGUGCGGGAGCCCCCGUGUGGACAUUUCGGGAAUACUGUGAGCUUUCUCAUUCCUGAGUGUGUUCCAUGGUUGGUGGUAUUAUUUCAGGAGGCUGCAGAACCCUUUGGAGCUUCCCUCCUGCCCCAGUAAGGGCUGGUCGAAGGGAAUUCACACUGCUACGCAUUCUCUGGCCCUCCAGGCCUUCCUUUGAAGAGUGGACAUUUCGAUGACUCUUUAACUUUUGUGUUCUCCGUGUGUUCAAAUACAGCAUCACACUGAUGUAGGUGUCUGAAUCUCAUUGAAUCAUGGCUGCACUGGUCUCUGAGAGCCUGGUUAUUUUCACAGGGAAAAUUGCUUGGGAGGCCCCAGAGAAGC
Molecule: long non-coding RNA, 893 nt
Organism: Alexandromys fortis (reed vole)
Lineage: Eukaryota; Metazoa; Chordata; Mammalia; Rodentia; Cricetidae
Exons: 3
Source: RefSeq, a predicted model, not a curated record